This 445-nucleotide ribosomal RNA is filed under the name uncultured bacterium. RNAcentral describes it as "partial 16S ribosomal RNA". It matches the Rfam family "Bacterial small subunit ribosomal RNA", at positions 354 to 796 of the family's 1533-position model. The record is from RNAcentral.
GUAGGGAAUAUUGGGCAAUGGAUGCAAGUCUGACCCAGCCAUCCCGCGUGCCGGAAGAAGGCCCUCAGGGUUGUAAACGGCUUUUGACGGUGAAGAAUCGACAGGAUGCGUCCUGUUUUGACGGUAGCCGUUGAAUAAGCACCGGCUAACUCCGUGCCAGCAGCCGCGGUAAUACGGAGGGUGCGAGCGUUGUCCGGAUUUAUUGGGUUUAAAGGGUGCGUAGGCUGGAAGGUCAGUCAGCGGUGAAAAGCUGUCGCUUAACGAUAGUCUUGCCGCAGAUACUUCCUUUCUUGGAUGAGGAGGAGACCACUGGAACGGAUGGUGUAGCGGUGAAAUGCAUAGAUAUCAUCCAGAACACCGAUUGCGAAGGCAGGUGGCUGUACCUUAAUCGACGCUGAUGCACGAAAGCAUGGGGAGCAAACAGGAUUAGAAACCCUAGUAGUCC